RNAcentral lists this ribosomal RNA (427 nucleotides) under uncultured bacterium. RNAcentral describes it as "bacterial SSU rRNA". It matches the Rfam family "Bacterial small subunit ribosomal RNA", at positions 355 to 774 of the family's 1533-position model. The record is from RNAcentral.
UGGGGAAUUUUGGACAAUGGGGGCAACCCUGAUCCAGCCAUCCCGCGUGUGCGAUGAAGGCCUUCGGGUUGUAAAGCACUUUUGGCAGGGAAGAAACAGCCUGGGCUAAUAUCCCGGGCGACUGACGGUACCUGCAGAAUAAGCACCGGCUAACUACGUGCCAGCAGCCGCGGUAAUACGUAGGGUGCAAGCGUUAAUCGGAAUUACUGGGCGUAAAGCGUGCGCAGGCGGUUCGGAAAGAAAGGUGUGAAAUCCCAGGGCUUAACCCUGGAACUGCACUUUUAACUACCGGGCUAGAGUACGUCAGAGGGGGGUAGAAUUCCACGUGUAGCAGUGAAAUGCGUAGAGAUGUGGAGGAAUACCGAUGGCGAAGGCAGCCCCCUGGGAUGAUACUGACGCUCAUGCACGAAAGCGUGGGGAGCAAACA